Molecule: transfer RNA, 71 nt
Filed under: Loxodonta africana (African savanna elephant)
Lineage: Eukaryota; Metazoa; Chordata; Mammalia; Proboscidea; Elephantidae
Rfam family: tRNA
About the family: Transfer RNA (tRNA) molecules are approximately 80 nucleotides in length. Their secondary structure includes four short double-helical elements and three loops (D, anti-codon, and T loops).
Source: Rfam by way of RNAcentral
GCCGUGGUGGUUCAGUGGUAGAAUUCUCACCUCCCAUGCGGGAGACCCAGGUUCCAUUCCCGCCCAGUGCA